CCUACGGGAGGCAGCAGUGAGGAAUAUUGGUCAAUGGGCGCGAGCCUGAACCAGCCAAGUAGCGUGAAGGAUGACUGCCCUACGGGUUGUCAACUUCUUUUAUAAAGGCAUAAAGUGAGGCACGUGUGCCUUUUUGUAUGUACUUUAUGAAUAAGGAUCGGCUAACUCAGUGCCAGCAGCCGCGGUAAUACGGAGGAUCCGAGCUUUAUCCGGCUUGAUUGGGUUUAAAGGGAGCGUAGUUGGGUUGUUAAGUCAGUGGUGAAAGUUUGCGGCUCAACCGUAAAAUUGCAAUUGAUACUGGCAGCCUUGAGUACAGUUGAGGUAGGCGGAAUUCGUGGUGUAGCGGUGAAAUGCUUAGAUAUCACGAAGAACUCCGAUUGCGAAGGCAGCUUACUAAACUGCCACUGACAUUGAUGCUCGAAAGUGUGGGUAUCAAACAGGAUUAGAUACCCGGGUAGUC
This 460-nucleotide ribosomal RNA is filed under the name uncultured bacterium. RNAcentral's name for it is "partial 16S ribosomal RNA". It matches the Rfam family "Bacterial small subunit ribosomal RNA", at positions 338 to 795 of the family's 1533-position model. The record is from RNAcentral.